This 499-nucleotide ribosomal RNA is filed under the name uncultured bacterium. Its description in RNAcentral is "bacterial SSU rRNA". It matches the Rfam family "Bacterial small subunit ribosomal RNA", at positions 8 to 507 of the family's 1533-position model. The record is from RNAcentral.
AGAGUUUGAUCAUGGCUCAGGAUGAACGCUAGCGGGAGGCCUAACACAUGCAAGCCGAGCGGUAUAGAAUCUUCGGAUUUUAGAGAGCGGCGUACGGGUGCGGAACACGUGUGCAACCUACCUUUAUCUGGAGGAUAGCCUUUCGAAAGGAAGAUUAAUACUCCAUAAUAUAUUGAUUGGCAUCAAUUAAUAUUGAAAGCUCCGGCGGAUAGAGAUGGGCACGCGCAAGAUUAGUUAGUUGGUGAGGUAACGGCUCACCAAGACGAUGAUCUUUAGGGGGCCUGAGAGGGUGAUCCCCCACACUGGUACUGAGACACGGACCAGACUCCUACGGGAGGCAGCAGUGAGGAAUAUUGGACAAUGGGUGCAAGCCUGAUCCAGCCAUCCCGCGUGAAGGACGACUGCCCUAUGGGUUGUAAACUUCUUUUGUAUAGGGAUAAACCUCUCCUCGUGAGGAGAGCUGAAGGUACUAUACGAAUAAGCACCGGCUAACUCCGUG